ACUAUCCUGAAUAUAAUUGCUGUACGUUCGUAUCGCAUACUUGGCACAGCGCUCCCUGUUCAGCCGGAUGAGGAAGAAGACGAUGACGACCCCUGCAAGGAGAGUCAGACCCACCGCCAGGCCGAUGGACAACAUAUCUGCAGAGAGAUCGCAAGGUCCCGUGUUGGGGUUCGGGGAGGCUCCCAUCCCUCGGAGCCAGUCGCCUUGGUCUAUUGAUCCCCUCACGUUGGUCCAGCUGCACAUGUCCAUCUCAAAGUCGCAGGUGCCGUGCGGGGGGCAGUUGGUGUCUAUCAGGUGGACGUCAUCAAAAGCCAUAUCGCCCUCCAGCGUGGGGCCGCCCUUCACACCUUCCACCACGAGCUAAGACAGAUGGAUAAGGUGGGGCAUGUGCCAGGAACAAGCGAGACGUCAUCGACGGCGAUGUCGCCCGCCUCUCCUCCCACGCUGGCCUCCACGAUCACUUGGUGGACCCGCUGCAAGGUCACGUGACUUUGAGCCGCCCGCCACUCGUCCCCUUGGUCCCCUGAUCUUUGCCACACCUACAGGAAGGACGGAGGUGGCGGUGAUUCACGCUGCGCAAUGAGGAUGUGAGGUCUGCGCAACAACACAAUACCCACCGAAACUGGGCAGCUGUUUUGUAACCAACGUUUCACAACUGCGACAAAAGUG
Entelurus aequoreus (snake pipefish) is the source of this 669-nucleotide long non-coding RNA. RefSeq lists it as uncharacterized. NCBI's taxonomy places the organism in Eukaryota, Metazoa, Chordata, Actinopteri, Syngnathiformes, Syngnathidae. The transcript is spliced from 3 exons. The record is from RefSeq and is a predicted model, not a curated record.